GCGGGAAUAGCUCAGUGGUAGAGCGUCACGUUGCCAUCGUGAGGGUCGGGAGUUCGAAUCUCGUUUCCCGCUCCA
RNAcentral lists this transfer RNA (75 nucleotides) under Gammaproteobacteria bacterium. RNAcentral describes it as "tRNA-Gly". It matches the Rfam family "tRNA". From Rfam's summary of the family: Transfer RNA (tRNA) molecules are approximately 80 nucleotides in length. Their secondary structure includes four short double-helical elements and three loops (D, anti-codon, and T loops). Further hydrogen bonds mediate the characteristic L-shaped molecular structure. tRNAs have two regions of fundamental functional importance: the anti-codon, which is responsible for specific mRNA codon recognition, and the 3' end, to which the tRNAs corresponding amino acid is attached (by aminoacyl-tRNA synthetases). tRNAs cope with the degeneracy of the genetic code in two manners: having more than one tRNA (with a specific anti-codon) for a particular amino acid; and 'wobble' base-pairing, i.e. permitting non-standard base-pairing at the 3rd anti-codon position. Lineage: Bacteria; Pseudomonadati; Pseudomonadota; Gammaproteobacteria. The record is from RNAcentral.